This 463-nucleotide ribosomal RNA is filed under the name Streptococcus sp. oral taxon 064. RNAcentral describes it as "bacterial SSU rRNA". It matches the Rfam family "Bacterial small subunit ribosomal RNA", at positions 28 to 475 of the family's 1533-position model. Lineage: Bacteria; Bacillati; Bacillota; Bacilli; Lactobacillales; Streptococcaceae. The record is from RNAcentral.
GACGAACGCUGGCGGCGUGCCUAAUACAUGCAAGUAGAACGCUGAAGGAGGAGCUUGCUCUUCUGGAUGAGUUGCGAACGGGUGAGUAACGCGUAGGUAACCUGCCUGGUAGCGGGGGAUAACUAUUGGAAACGAUAGCUAAUACCGCAUAACAACAGUUGUUGCAUGACAGCUGUUUAAAAGAUGCAAUUGCAUCACUACCAGAUGGACCUGCGUUGUAUUAGCUAGUUGGUGAGGUAACGGCUCACCAAGGCAACGAUACAUAGCCGACCUGAGAGGGUGAUCGGCCACACUGGGACUGAGACACGGCCCAGACUCCUACGGGAGGCAGCAGUAGGGAAUCUUCGGCAAUGGACGGAAGUCUGACCGAGCAACGCCGCGUGAGUGAAGAAGGUUUUCGGAUCGUAAAGCUCUGUUGUAAGAGAAGAACGAGUGUGAGAGUGGAAAGUUCACACUGUGACGG